UCUGUUCAUACAGGAGCAUGAGGGUUAUUAAUGUGAUGGAGUUGUGUUUUUCAGCAGACACACAUACAGUAAUUCUUGGAAAGUAUUUUCUGGAGAAGGGAUCAUUGGGCAGACACGUGUUGACAGCCAUUUUCAGUUCCCCUUACAUGCAAAUCACAUUCAGGUCAUCCAGUUAAACCCAGAGAUUGGAGAAGACUUCCAAACCCGCUCAGCCAUUCAAACAGACCACUUACAGCUCUUAAACAAACCAUGGGCAACGCUGGAUGUGACACUUGCAUGGAAUAUUGCCAUACGAAAUGCAAAUGCAAGUGUCAUAAAAAGGAUAAACACAAUAAAAUACAUGCAAAACUUGAGUUCUCUGAUGACACCGCUGACACCGCUGCAGACUUGGCAGAUGCUGCCGCUGAAGACGAUUGCUGCGAUUUGGGAGAUUGCUGUCAAUUCUGCUGUUGUUUCCUCUGUAAACUUUGCGAUUUCCUUUGCUGUUGUUUUUGCAGCAAUGAUGACGAAUAACUGGAGGAGCUGAGCAGACGCUGAGCAGGAGGAUCCCGAGCGAGAAGAACACAACGCUGCGGCCAGGAUGAGCUUCAGCUCCUGUCAAGGAUUCAGAUAUUUGAUGUGGGUUAUCUGUUAUUCACUCACAAAUGAAUGACUCAGUUUACAUGUUGGGCUGCCAGUAAACAUCAGAGGAUUCUUCAUAAUCAACUCCACAAUCCAAAUUUUCAUGCAUUUGUUUUUAAUUUGAACUGUUUCCCGGAGAUGGGUUGCGGCUGGAAGGGCAUCCGCUGCGUAGAAACUUGCUGG
This 804-nucleotide long non-coding RNA is filed under the name Danio rerio (zebrafish). RNAcentral describes it as "lncRNA si:dkey-33c14.2 (ENSDARG00000097762.2)". The record is from RNAcentral. Lineage: Eukaryota; Metazoa; Chordata; Actinopteri; Cypriniformes; Danionidae.